RNAcentral lists this transfer RNA (73 nucleotides) under Marmota monax (woodchuck). Its description in RNAcentral is "tRNA.Val". Lineage: Eukaryota; Metazoa; Chordata; Mammalia; Rodentia; Sciuridae. The record is from RNAcentral.
GGGGAUGUGGCUCAGUGGUACAGUGCUCACCUAACACGUGUGAGGCCCCCUGGGUUCAAUCCUCAGCACCACA